UCCUUGUUCAGCACUUCAGUAUCCUUGUU
This 29-nucleotide non-coding RNA is filed under the name Homo sapiens (human). Lineage: Eukaryota; Metazoa; Chordata; Mammalia; Primates; Hominidae. The record is from RNAcentral.